UCCUAGCCGUAAACGAUGGGCACUAAGUAGGGGGCCAUUCCACGGUCUCUCUGCCGUAGCUAACGCAUUAAGUGACCCGCCUGGGGAGUACGGCCGCAAGGCUAAAACUCAAAGGAAUUGACGGGGGCUCGCACAAGCGGUGGAGCAUGUGGCUUAAUUCGAUGCAACGCGAAAAACCUUACCGGGGUUUGACAUGCACUAGACGCGUCUAGAGAUAGGCGUUCCCUUGUGGCUGGUGUGCA
Molecule: ribosomal RNA, 242 nt
Filed under: uncultured bacterium
Lineage: Bacteria
Description: partial 16S ribosomal RNA
Rfam family: Bacterial small subunit ribosomal RNA
Source: RNAcentral